UACGUAGGGUGCGAGCGUUGUCCGGAAUUAUUGGGCGUAAAGGGCUCGUAGGCGGUUUGUCGCGUCGGGAGUGAAAACUCAGGGCUUAACCCUGAGCCUGCUUCCGAUACGGGCAGACUAGAGGUAUGCAGGGGAGAACGGAAUUCCUGGUGUAGCGGUGAAAUGCGGCAGAUAUCAGGAGGAACACCGGUGGCGAAGGCGGUUCUCUGGGC
Molecule: ribosomal RNA, 212 nt
Filed under: uncultured bacterium
Lineage: Bacteria
Description: partial 16S ribosomal RNA
Rfam family: Bacterial small subunit ribosomal RNA
Source: RNAcentral